Molecule: ribosomal RNA, 406 nt
Filed under: uncultured bacterium
Lineage: Bacteria
Description: partial 16S ribosomal RNA
Rfam family: Bacterial small subunit ribosomal RNA
Source: RNAcentral
AUUGAACGCUGGCGGCAGGCUUAACACAUGCAAGUCGAGCGAGCGGCGGACGGGUGAGUAAUGUCUGGGCAACUGCCUGAUGGAGGGGGAUCACUACUGGAAACGGUAGCUAAUACCGCAUACCAUCAGAUGUGCCCAGGUGGGAUUGGCUAGUAGGUGGGGUAAUGGCUCACCUAGGCGACGAUACCUCGCUGGUCUGAGAGGAUGACCGGCCAAACGGGAACUGAGACACGGUCCAGAUUCCUACGGGAGGCAGAAGUGGGGAAUAUUGCACAAUGGGCGAAAGCCGGAGGCAGCCAGGCCGCGUGUGGGAAGAAGGCCUGCGGGUUGUAAAGCACUUUCAGCGAGGAGGCGGUACUCGCAGAAGAAGCAACGGCUAACUCCGUGCCAGCAGCCGCGGUAAUAC